Long non-coding RNA from Portunus trituberculatus (swimming crab), 272 nucleotides. RefSeq lists it as uncharacterized. The record is from RefSeq and is a predicted model, not a curated record. NCBI's taxonomy places the organism in Eukaryota, Metazoa, Arthropoda, Malacostraca, Decapoda, Portunidae. The transcript is spliced from 3 exons.
UGAUGUUGUUCUUCCGUGUGGGGGUCGUCUGCAGCUCUGCCACUAUUGCACUCUGUGGGUGAAAUGCUGGCUUUGUAUUUUAACAUCACUAUUAUUCAUGGUUUAGACUAUCGUAAGGUAAAUUUAGAUUGACUAGAUGUGUUGCACGAGGGUGGCGUAGAAGGAUAAAUGAAUGUUCAGCUGCAUCACAUCGCCCCGAUAGAGCCAUACAACUGGUGGGUAAGCCUUGCCCCACGUCACCUCACCAAACAGAGCAGGUCAGAAUAUAUGCA